This 69-nucleotide transfer RNA is filed under the name Rattus norvegicus (Norway rat). It matches the Rfam family "tRNA". From Rfam's summary of the family: Transfer RNA (tRNA) molecules are approximately 80 nucleotides in length. Their secondary structure includes four short double-helical elements and three loops (D, anti-codon, and T loops). Lineage: Eukaryota; Metazoa; Chordata; Mammalia; Rodentia; Muridae. The record is from Rfam by way of RNAcentral.
GGGGAUUUAGCUCAGCGGUAGAGCGCUUGCCUAGCAAGCACAAGGCCCUGGGUUUGGUUCCCAGCUCCG